RNAcentral lists this ribosomal RNA (742 nucleotides) under uncultured bacterium. Its description in RNAcentral is "bacterial SSU rRNA". It matches the Rfam family "Bacterial small subunit ribosomal RNA", at positions 8 to 796 of the family's 1533-position model. The record is from RNAcentral.
AGAGUUUGAUCAUGGCUCAGAGCGAACGCUGGCGGCAGGCCUAACACAUGCAAGUCGAGCGCCGUAGCAAUACGGAGCGGCAGACGGGAGAGUAACACGUGGGAACGUGCCCUUUGGUUCGGAACAACACAGGGAAACUUGUGCUAAUACCGGAUAAGCCCUUACGGGGAAAGAUUUAUCGCCAAAGGAUCGGCCCGCGUCUGAUUAGCUUGUUGGUGAGGUAACGGCUCACCAAGGCGACGAUCAGUAGCUGGUCUGAGAGGAUGAUCAGCCUCACUGGGACUGAGACACGGCCCAGACUCCUACGGGAGGCAGCAGUGGGGAAUAUUGGACAAUGGGCGCAAGCCUGAUCCAGCCAUGCCGCGUGGAUGAUGAAGGCCCUAGGGUUGUAAAGUCCUUUCGGCGGGGAAGAUAAUGACGGUACCCGCAGAAGAAGCCCCGGCUAACUUCGUGCCAGCAGCCGCGGUAAUACGAAGGGGGCUAGCGUUGCUCGGAAUCACUGGGCGUAAAGCGCACGUAGGCGGCUUUUUAAGUCAGGGGUGAAAUCCUGGAGCUCAACUCCAGAACUGCCUUUGAUACUGAGAAGCUUGAGUCCGGGAGAGGUGAGUGGAACUGCGAGUGUAGAGGUGAAAUUCGUAGAUAUUCGCAAGAACACCAGUGGCGAAGGCGGCUCACUGGCCCGGUACUGACGCUGAGGUGCGAAAGCGUGGGGAGCAAACAGGAUUAGAUACCCUAGUAGUCC